RNAcentral lists this long non-coding RNA (212 nucleotides) under Elaeis guineensis (African oil palm). RNAcentral describes it as "long non-coding RNA (EGUI_LNC059381)". Lineage: Eukaryota; Viridiplantae; Streptophyta; Magnoliopsida; Arecales; Arecaceae. The record is from RNAcentral.
UGACGAAGUUUGAAAGAAGUUCGGAAUAGGGUCAUCCACGGCCGGAAGAAGUCCGAAAGAAAUUCGGAGAGUAGUUGAUUACUGUAGAAGGUCGGCUGGCAGUGAGGCCAAGAGAGCUUUUGGGGUGGCCCGAUAGAUGAAUGCUGAAGUUCAUUAUCGAAGAAGUCCGAAAGGUCGAGGGGGUUCAGAGAGACGCCACACACAAGGUCGGA